AUUGAACGCUGGCGGCAGGCCUAACACAUGCAAGUCGAGCGGAUGAAGGGAGCUUGCUCCUGGAUUCAGCGGCGGACGGGUGAGUAAUGCCUAGGAAUCUGCCUGGGAGUGGGGGAUAACGUCCGGAAACGGGCGCUAAUACCGCAUACGUCCUGAGGGAGGAAGUGGGGGAUCUUCGGACCUCACGCUAUCAGAUGAGCCUAGGUCGGAUUAGCUAGUUGGUGGGGUAAAGGCCUACCAAGGCGACGAUCCGUAACUGGUCUGAGAGGAUGAUCAGUCACACUGGAACUGAGACACGGUCCAGACUCCUACGGGAGGCAGCAGUGGGGAAUAUUGGACAAUGGGCGAAAGCCUGAUCCAGCCAUGCCGCGUGUGUGAAGAAGGUCUUCGGAUUGUAAAGCACUUUAAGUUGGGAGGAAGGGCAGUAAGUUAAUACCUUGCUGUUUUGACGUUACCAACAGAAUAAGCACCGGCUAACUUCGUG
This 484-nucleotide ribosomal RNA is filed under the name uncultured bacterium. RNAcentral's name for it is "partial 16S ribosomal RNA". It matches the Rfam family "Bacterial small subunit ribosomal RNA", at positions 30 to 507 of the family's 1533-position model. The record is from RNAcentral.